This 329-nucleotide ribosomal RNA is filed under the name uncultured eukaryote. RNAcentral describes it as "partial 18S ribosomal RNA". It matches the Rfam family "Eukaryotic small subunit ribosomal RNA", at positions 1470 to 1796 of the family's 1831-position model. The record is from RNAcentral.
CCCUUAGAUGUUCUGGGCCGCACGCGCGCUACACUGAUGCAUUCAACGAGUCUAAAACCUGCUCUAAUAGGGGUGGGUAAUCUUUUGAAUGUGCAUCGUGAUUGGGAUAGAUGAUUGCAAUUUUUCAUCUUCAACGAGGAAUGCCUAGUAAACGCAAGUCAUCAGCUUGCAUUGAUUACGUCCCUGCCCUUUGUACACACCGCCCGUCGCUCCUACCGAUUGAAUGAUCCGAUGAAUAUCAUGGAUUGAGGAUGCAAGUAGGUUCGCCUAUCUUCAUCUUCGAGAAGUGAAGUAAAUCUUAUCAUUUAGAGGAAGGAGAAGUCGUAACA